RNAcentral lists this unclassified non-coding RNA (329 nucleotides) under soil metagenome. RNAcentral describes it as "partial contains 5.8S ribosomal RNA, internal transcribed spacer 2, and large subunit ribosomal RNA". The stretch from base 1 to 120 matches the Rfam family "5.8S ribosomal RNA", at positions 35 to 154 of the family's 154-position model. The record is from RNAcentral.
GAUGAAGAACGUAGUGAAAUGCGAUAAGUAGUGUGAAUUGCAGAAUUCAGUGAAUCAUCGAAUCUUUGAACGCACAUUGCGCCCCUUGGUAUUCCAUGGGGCAUGCCUGUUCGAGCGUCAUUUGUACCCUCAAGCUUUGCUUGGUGUUGGGCGUCUUGUCGUAUUACGACUCGCCUUAAAUACAUUGGCAGCCGGCACUUUGGCCUAGGAGCGCAGCACAUUUUGCGAUCGUAGCCCGUUGUACUGGCGUCCAUCAAGAACAUUUACCACGUUUGACCUCGGAUCAGGUAGGGAUACCCGCUGAACUUAAGCAUAUCAAUAAGCGAGGA